UUGGAAUUUCUGGUCUCUGCAUUGAGGGGCUGUUGGUCUUUUGGAAAGAUGUGCUUAUUGAAUGGGACAAGCUUGCCCCAAGAGGCAUUGCUAGGGCUGCUCCCAGACCUACUUGUGAUUCAAGGCUGUGCUUCUCCUCUGCACGUGAGACAGACUGGGGCUGUGGCUGAGAUGUCACAUGGCAGAUAGGAUCACAAAUUUCUGUUGUAUCUGGAUGGAGAUCAGCAGGAGGAUCUAUGGGUACUUCAAAGAGGACAUCCUCUCCUGAAGAACAGAAGAACCUGAAAUGUUUGGAGCCUAAGACUGCUGUGAUUGCACCUGCCAUCUUAUGCAGAAAUGACCUGAAGACAGACUGAAACAACGUGUUCUACAGCCUGAAAAUAUCUACCUUGACUUACAGUUUUAUUAAUGCUGGUGUGAUCAGACUGGACAAAAAUUAGCAUAUGUUAUUAACUGAUCUAAUUCAAGUGCCAAUUCUUAAUAGAAACACAAAACAAUAAAAGCAAUUCAGAAAAU
Molecule: long non-coding RNA, 516 nt
Filed under: Homo sapiens (human)
Lineage: Eukaryota; Metazoa; Chordata; Mammalia; Primates; Hominidae
Description: HSALNT0313461
Source: RNAcentral